This 426-nucleotide ribosomal RNA is filed under the name uncultured bacterium. RNAcentral describes it as "partial 16S ribosomal RNA". It matches the Rfam family "Bacterial small subunit ribosomal RNA", at positions 354 to 796 of the family's 1533-position model. The record is from RNAcentral.
GUGAGGAAUUUUCCGCAAUGGGCGAAAGCCUGACGGAGCAAUGCCGCGUGAAGGAUGAAGGCCUAUGGGUUGUAAACUUCUUUUCUCAGAAAAGAAUUAUGACGGUAUCUGAGGAAUAAGCAUCGGCUAACUCUGUGCCAGCAGCCGCGGUAAGACAGAGGAUGCAAGCGUUAUCCGGAAUGAUUGGGCGUAAAGCGUCUGUAGGUUGUUUAAAAAGUAUUCUGUCAAAGAUUAGGGCUUAACCCUAGAUAGGCAGAAGAAACUUUUAAGCUAGAGUUUGGUAGAGGCAGAGAGAAUUCCCGGUGGAGCGGUGAAAUGCGUAGAUAUCGGGAGGAACACCAAAGGCGAAGGCACUCUGCUGGGCCAAUACUAACACUGAGAGACGAAAGCGAGGGGAGCAAAUGGGAUUAGAAACCCGAGUAGUCC